UGCCAGCCGCCGCGGUAAUACGGAGGGUGCAAGCGUUAAUCGGAAUUACUGGGCGUAAAGCGCGCGUAGGCGGCUUUGUCAGUUGGGUGUGAAAGCCCCGGGCUUAACCUGGGAACUGCAUCCAAUACUGCAAGGCUAGAGUAUGGUAGAGGGAAGUGGAAUUUCAGGUGUAGCGGUGAAAUGCGUAGAUAUCUGAAGGAACACCAGUGGCGAAGGCGGCUUCCUGGACCAAUACUGACGCUGAGGUGCGAAAGCGUGGGGAGCAAACAGGAUUAGAUA
This 279-nucleotide ribosomal RNA is filed under the name uncultured bacterium. Its description in RNAcentral is "partial 16S ribosomal RNA". It matches the Rfam family "Bacterial small subunit ribosomal RNA", at positions 506 to 784 of the family's 1533-position model. The record is from RNAcentral.